UGCCGGGGUGGUGGAAUGGUAGACACCGGAGACUUAAAAUCUCCUCCCCGCAAGGGGGUACGGGUUCAAAUCCCGUUCCCGGCAG
Molecule: transfer RNA, 85 nt
Filed under: Spirochaetia bacterium
Lineage: Bacteria; Pseudomonadati; Spirochaetota; Spirochaetia
Description: tRNA-Leu
Rfam family: tRNA
About the family: Transfer RNA (tRNA) molecules are approximately 80 nucleotides in length.
Source: RNAcentral